This 1853-nucleotide long non-coding RNA is filed under the name Crocodylus porosus (Australian saltwater crocodile). RNAcentral's name for it is "lncRNA (ENSCPRG00005003116.1)". Lineage: Eukaryota; Metazoa; Chordata; Crocodylia; Crocodylidae. The record is from RNAcentral.
GACGUUCAUUAACCACGUUGCCAGGCUGGAGAAGACACAGAGCCAACCGAAGAGUCGUUAAAGAAAGAGAGGCGGUAAUAAUAUACAAAGCACAGCGGAGGAAUCGCAUUUUGAUUGCUUCCUCUCCCACGGUGUCCAGCUUCCCUCACCAGCCUCAGUAGACAGGAGAAUAAAGGAAGGGAGAGCGGGAAGGAGGGGGAGGAAAUUACCUUCUCAAAUCAGCUGUCUCGACUUCUGGAAUGGCCUUCCUUUCCUCCGGCGGGGCCAGUCCCGAGUGGUGUAAGCUGGCAGGGUGGGCCCACAGCAGUCCUGGCACCAGCAGCGGUGGGCAGGCAAGCCGGACUCCUGGCUCUGCCACUGAUGUGUCCGGUGACCUUGGACAAGUCACUUCACCUCUUGGUGCCUCAGUUUCCUCACCCAGGUGUAAUAACGUUGGCCUGUCUGCGAGAUCCCGGGGCGGGGGCAAGAACAUUGUGCUCUGGACCGCCCGACAAACCCAGGGAGAGCCUCCGAAGCAAACGGCGCGUCUCAAAGGAUCAGCCAGGGCCCAGGCGGCCGGCUCUGCGCCUGCUUGCGGUCUGGCCUCCUGCUUUUGGAUUCAGGGGCUGCGAUCUGGCUGGGGGGAGCUUGCUGCAUUUUACAGCAGGCUUUUACUUUUAACGAUCACUUGGGUCAUAGCAGCGGCUGAGGCGGGUUUGCAGGGACCCUCGGAGGCUUUGCUGGACCCGGCGUGGGUCCCACUCCGGCUCUGCAAGGGCCUUGCUGAGAGAAGGGAAGGGCAGCAUGGGCGAUGAGGCUUAGCGUGCACCUGCCAGCACAGCCUCAGGAGCGCCCUGGGCAAGCAGAAAGGAGCGAGGGGCUCGCUCACCCUCAGUGCAGAGGCAACUGUGGUUUGUGCCAUUAGCAGAGGCCACGGUGCCUUGGCUGGUUAACCUGAGCAUCUGGGCCGAGACCCCGCGUCUGCCCGGGCAUCACAGCAGCACUCCCCUGCAGGGCAGGAUGAAGCCUGAUUAGCACUGCUUGGGGAGCGCAGGUGAUGGCCUGCUGGGACGCGCUCCUGGACAGGCUGAGAAGAGGCCUGUCUAGGUGGGGCCGCCAGAGAUUUAAAAGUCAGUUUAAAAGUUGCUUGAAAAGUUUAAAACGACAGCCGCCGGAGUUUUAAAAGUCGAGGCGACCAUUUAUUCUCCAAGCAGAGCUUUACAACGCUAAGUAAAUUCACGGCUCACUUAGGACAGUGUAAGGCAGGCUUCGACUAUUCAGCAGAGCCCUUUAAACACCCCACAGCCGGGUGAUAAAUCCGGCCGCCUCUUCCUUCCCAGAGCGGAGCCCAGGCUCCGUGGUUCUGGUCUGCCCGUGGCCCGCCAUCCCUCCCAGUUCACAGACGGGCUUUCAGUGAAGCUGGAACAUUGAUUUUUCCCUUCCUGAUAUGCAGCAGCGCGGGUCUGACAGCUCAGACCGGUGUCAGGCUUCGGGAGGGCUUUCAGUGCUGCCGUGCCAGGGCCGUUCACAGCUGGCUUUCAGCCCCGACCCGGAGACCGCACCGGCACUGCUGCUGCACCCGCUACCGAGCUGCCCACACAACGCAGCCAGCGCCCCGGCGUCCUGACCCCACUGGGCGAGCGUCUCUGAGAGGAGGGCUGCAAUGGUGACGCCGAACCAAACCGGGCGUUCAAAUCGUGGAGCCUGGUGGAAACCGCAGGACAUCUGGUUGGGGCACAUCUCAGCCCCUGGCACAAGGCAGGAAAGCCUCGGGAAGUGAGAAGAGACUUUGGUACAGCUCCCGGCACAAAAGGCAAUUAGGUGCCAAUGCAGAUAACAACAGCAACAAUAAAAAUAUCAUCGUAUCAUAAUUA